RNAcentral lists this long non-coding RNA (1287 nucleotides) under Oryza brachyantha (malo sina). RNAcentral describes it as "long non-coding RNA (OBRA_LNC001603)". The record is from RNAcentral. Lineage: Eukaryota; Viridiplantae; Streptophyta; Magnoliopsida; Poales; Poaceae.
UGUGAAUUGUGAACAACAUAAUUAUUUCAUGUAUUCUUGGAAACUUAUUCAUUUAUAUAUUUUUCAUAUGCAUUUCAAUAGAGCAUAACAGUUGUUUCUUACCUUUUUUUUCCUCUUUACCUUUUAGAGCUCUCUUUAUUAUUUUCUUUUAAAAUUAACUACAUAUUUAUUUGACCUGAUUUUUUUAACAAAACUUAUCGCAACAUGCUAUUUUUACCCACCUCAACCUCUAGAGUUAGAACUAAGUCAUUUAAAUACAAUUUUCCCAAUAAAAUAGCUAUUGCGCAUAUUCACAAACUUUAACUUUCUAAACAUGAUGGAUCGGAACAUCUUGACCAGCCACUUGCAUGUUGUUUACCCCAAGAAUAAUCAGUCUUAAACAUACCAUUACAAUUAUAUGAUAUAGCUUUUCUGGCAGGUUUUGCUGAGCAGUAUUUCCUGAUGCUUCCUAGCCCUACCAUGUCUGCUAAACAUGGUUUCAUCUAAAAAAUUAAUCAGAGGUUUUGAUCAGUAUUCAUUCUGAGCUCUUCUCUUUUUGUCUCUUUGGUUAGGCUGCUUUCUCUUUUGUGCAUUGUGAUUCUGCUACACCAUCUCCUCUCACUUUUAAAUAGGCAGUGGUUUGUGUUGAUGUGGUGUGAAUGUCAUUCAGUUUCCAUAGCCCCGUACAUGUAACAUUCAAAUGAGCAUAUCACCAUCUUUCCAAUGUCGCACAAUAUAAGACAACAUAUGGAAAAGCAUUUGAACGAUUUGUUUGAUUGAUAGAGCCUGAAUCUAGCCUAAAGUGAAUGUUACAGGAAGUUCAUUUCACUGAAUUUCAAUUCCCAAUAUCUAUUCCCCAGGGAUGGAUUCAGGAUCAAAUCGUUUGGACCUCUCAAUAAUUUGAAUUAUUUUCCAAAAAUUACAUGAAAAUUAUAUUGGCAUUCCUAUGCUAAAGUGAGUGAGAAAACUUGUUCCUGUACUUGACCUUCAGCUAGGCUAGUAUUGUACUAUUGUCCCACUCUGCUCAUGAGUGUAGGAAAUGGAUGAACAAUUUUCUCAUAUGCUUCUCUGCUCGUAAGGUGGGUUUAUGAGAGAGGCAAACUUGAUACUACUAAGUUAAUUGCACUUAGACUUCCUUGUCAUAUUCCUUUUCGUCUAUAGUCCAAUACUGUACGUAGCCACUGGGUUGGAAAUUGAGUCAAGACUGUACAUAGCCACUGGCUUGGGACUGCAGUCGUCAAUUGGUUGAAGGAGCACAUAUUUCUUUUCAAAUGGGUGUCCAUGAGCUGCUGUCGUGUUUCCUGGUGC